RNAcentral lists this ribosomal RNA (454 nucleotides) under uncultured bacterium. RNAcentral's name for it is "partial 16S ribosomal RNA". It matches the Rfam family "Bacterial small subunit ribosomal RNA", at positions 28 to 507 of the family's 1533-position model. The record is from RNAcentral.
GAUGAACGCUGACAGAAUGCUUAACACAUGCAAGUCAACUUGAACUUCGGUUUGGGUGGCGGACGGGUGAGUAACGCGUAAAGAACUUGCCUCACAGAUAGGGACAACAUUUGGAAACGAAUGCUAAUACCUGAUAUUAUGAUUAUAUGGCAUCGUAUAAUUAUGAAAGCUAUAUGCGCUGUGAGAGAGCUUUGCGUCCCAUUAGCUAGUUGGAGAGGUAACGGCUCACCAAGGCGAUGAUGGGUAGCCGGCCUGAGAGGGUGAUCGGCCACAAGGGGACUGAGACACGGCCCUUACUCCUACGGGAGACAGCAGUGGGGAAUAUUGGACAAUGGACCAAGAGUCUGAUCCAGCAAUUCUGUGUGCACGAUGAAGUUUUUCGGAAUGUAAAGUGCUUUCAGUUGGGAAGAAAAAAAUGACGGUACCAACAGAAGAAGUGACGGCUAAAUACGUG